This 254-nucleotide ribosomal RNA is filed under the name uncultured bacterium. Its description in RNAcentral is "partial 16S ribosomal RNA". It matches the Rfam family "Bacterial small subunit ribosomal RNA", at positions 524 to 776 of the family's 1533-position model. The record is from RNAcentral.
UACGGGGGGAGCAAGCGUUGUUCGGAUUUACUGGGCGUAAAGGGCGCGUAGGCGGUCAGCACAAGUCAGUUGUGAAAUCUCCGGGCUUAACCCGGAAACUGCCAUUGAUACUAAUGGUCUUGAAUUUUGUUGAGGUAGGCGGAAUAUGUCAUGUAGCGGUGAAAUGCUUAGAUAUGACAUAGAACACCGAUUGCGAAGGCAGCUUACUAAGCAAAUAUUGACGCUGAGGCACGAAAGCGUGGGGAUCAAACAGG